GACGAACCGUACGAACGUUAUUCGGAAUUACUGGGCUUAAAGGGUUUGUAGGCGGCCUUGUAAGUCAGGUGUGAAAUCCCUCGGCUCAACCGAGGAAUGGCGCUUGAUACUGCAAGGCUUGAGGGACCUAGAGGUGAGCGGAACUGAUGGUGGAGCGGUGAAAUGCGUUGAUAUCAUCAGGAACACCGGAGGCGAAGGCGGCUCACUGGGGGUCUUCUGACGCUGAGGAACGAAAGCCAGGGGAGCGAACGGG
Molecule: ribosomal RNA, 253 nt
Filed under: uncultured bacterium
Lineage: Bacteria
Description: partial 16S ribosomal RNA
Rfam family: Bacterial small subunit ribosomal RNA
Source: RNAcentral